Molecule: long non-coding RNA, 328 nt
Organism: Trematomus bernacchii (emerald rockcod)
Lineage: Eukaryota; Metazoa; Chordata; Actinopteri; Perciformes; Nototheniidae
Exons: 3
Source: RefSeq, a predicted model, not a curated record
AGUAAAAAGUGAUCAGAAAAAUAAGUAGUGGAAUGUACUUAAGUACAGUAACGAGGUAUUUGUACUCCGCUACUUCCUACCUCUGACCAACGUGUAUCUCUAUAUUCAGAGCACCCAGUAUAAGACGGUGGAGCGGGUGGUGCAGACUCUGAAGAACCUGUGCUGUGCUCUGGACGAGACGGAGACCCAGGCCAUCACUGAGGCCGUCAAAAGGCUGAAACACUCCGUCAACUUACCCCAGACACGCUCCCCCAAGAUGGGGUCCACAUCGUCUGGUCAAUCGUCAAAUGGAAAGUGGGCACGCGAUGACAGCUUCCUUGACACCAUC